RNAcentral lists this ribosomal RNA (832 nucleotides) under Streptomyces sp. Its description in RNAcentral is "bacterial SSU rRNA". It matches the Rfam family "Bacterial small subunit ribosomal RNA", at positions 57 to 905 of the family's 1533-position model. The record is from RNAcentral. Lineage: Bacteria; Bacillati; Actinomycetota; Actinomycetes; Kitasatosporales; Streptomycetaceae.
GCAGUCGACGAUGAACCACUUCGGUGGGGAUUAGUGGCGAACGGGUGAGUAACACGUGGGCAAUCUGCCCUGCACUCUGGGACAAGCCCUGGAAACGGGGUCUAAUACCGGAUACUGAUCCUCUUGGGCAUCUUGGAUGAUCGAAAGCUCCGGCGGUGCAGGAUGAGCCCGCGGCCUAUCAGCUUGUUGGUGAGGUAAUGGCUCACCAAGGCGACGACGGGUAGCCGGCCUGAGAGGGCGACCGGCCACACUGGGACUGAGACACGGCCCAGACUCCUACGGGAGGCAGCAGUGGGGAAUAUUGCACAAUGGGCGAAAGCCUGAUGCAGCGACGCCGCGUGAGGGAUGACGGCCUUCGGGUUGUAAACCUCUUUCAGCAGGGAAGAAGCGAAAGUGACGGUACCUGCAGAAGAAGCGCCGGCUAACUACGUGCCAGCAGCCGCGGUAAUACGUAGGGCGCGAGCGUUGUCCGGAAUUAUUGGGCGUAAAGAGCUCGUAGGCGGCUUGUCACGUCGGUUGUGAAAGCCCGGGGCUUAACCCCGGGUCUGCAGUCGAUACGGGCAGGCUAGAGUUCGGUAGGGGAGAUCGGAAUUCCUGGUGUAGCGGUGAAAUGCGCAGAUAUCAGGAGGAACACCGGUGGCGAAGGCGGAUCUCUGGGCCGAUACUGACGCUGAGGAGCGAAAGCGUGGGGAGCGAACAGGAUUAGAUACCCUGGUAGUCCACGCCGUAAACGGUGGGCACUAGGUGUGGGCGACAUUCCACGUCGUCCGUGCCGCAGCUAACGCAUUAAGUGCCCCGCCUGGGGAGUACGGCCGCAAGGCUAAAACUCAAA